Ribosomal RNA from Pteropus vampyrus (large flying fox), 116 nucleotides. The record is from Ensembl. Lineage: Eukaryota; Metazoa; Chordata; Mammalia; Chiroptera; Pteropodidae.
GUCUACGGCCAUGCCACCCUGGACAAGCCCGAGGUCUGGUCUCGGAAGCUAAGCAGGGUUGGACCUGGUUAGUACUUGGAUGGGAGACCACCUAGGAAGUCCAGACCCUGUAGGCA